AACACGACACAUCACAUCCCCGCUAACGCUAAGCCUCCUACAUCUAGCUCGUUUUCGGCCAUUCCACCGCACGUUGCCUUCCGCCCUUCCCUUCCAGCAGGCGCUGGGCAGGCUGCAGCUGCUUUUUACCGAUGGACGCGACGGCGUCGGACCCCUCGUCGGGGCGCAGACGGCAGCUGCAGGGCCCCCGCCCGCCGCGGCUUGCCGUCAACGUGGAGUCCCUCAAGAUCAAGAAGCCGGCCGUCACGCGACGACUGAAGACCACCGAGGUCAUCGAAGUCCAGCUUGCCGACUUCAAGGCCGCCGUUCAGCGCCUGACAGGUCUUGGCGCCGCUGUCGCCGCAACCGACUACAUGGACAUGAAAUACACAGGACCAGGACCGUCUAUGGUGUCGUCACCACGGGUGGAGUUCAGUGACGGAUCUACGGCGGGGUGCUCCAGCCCCCCUCCGUCUGAGAAGACAGUGGAGGAGGAAGGAAAAAAAAGAGGAAGGAGAGGAGAAGGAAGGAAGAGGAAGGAAGAAGAGGAGGAAGGAAGAGGAAGGAAGAGAAAAAAAGAGGAAGAAGAGAGAAAAAAGGAGUCCCCGCGGCCACGACUGUGGUUACUCUCGCCCACCACCACCGCUGUCUCAGCCUCCGCGAGGGCGAGGCUAGCGGCCACCGAGAGGGCGAUCUGGCCGCUGUCUCUGCCCCGCCCUCCUACGGACUACGGAGAGGACGCGGACAGCUUGGCAGCCGUUCUUAGCCUGCCGGGACGGCCGGGGAUCCUGUCGCCUGCGGCUCUGCCGCCGGCUGCGUUCUCUGGGCAGUUCUCGGCGCUGCCGUUUGACCCAAGCUGCCUCUCAUGGCUCAAGGAGCUGACCCCCUUCCUGCCCUCUGCAAGCAGAUGCGUAGAGGAGCUGGAAUGCCUGUUCACGCUGAAACGAAGCACCCUGCUGCUUCCCGGAAUGCCAUGUCCGGCCACCGUCUCGACGUUUGAGUUGUUCAGAGAUGUCCUAGAAAUUAAAUCAGGCAAUGGAGAAGGAGCACCUGCUGGACAUGUUGGUGAUGCCGAGCAAUCUCUGAAAGCUGAACCUGUUGGUGACCCACAAGUUGGAGUAUAUUCGCCAUCAAUCAGUCGUCUCUUUCAGCAGCUUGUUCAUGUUCGAACUAUCAUCUCAUCCUUCAAUGGGAAGCUGCCAUCUGAUGCUUGGUUCAAUCAUGUAAAAAAUUUGACCUCAGAUGCAGAAGAAUCUCUCGAAUAUCUGCACUACAAGAUGAUGCUGGCCAAGCUUGGGGUUGGGAUAGAGUUCAAGAAAGUAAUGCCCAAUGUGUCAGGGACUUGUUCCAAAACAACAGCUUUAAGCUUCAUGCACUUACUAGCUUCACAGGAACUUGUUUUUUUACCAGUUACCGACAAAUUGGAGGGCCUUCGACCUGGAAGCCCUGGUUUGACUGGUGUAGUUCUUGGAAACUACAGUGAGAUAUUGUCACUUAGUUCUUCGGUCAUGCGGUGCAUCCUUUUGUGUCGUGGCAUUUUAGGCAUUAUUAACAUAGUUAACAUGAGGCUUAAGAAGGAUAGUCUGGAACUUCCUGCAUUUGCUUUUGAUGAUCUGACAUAUGCUGGUCAGAACAAGGGAACUGGAAUGAAUGCGCAUCGUGUGCCGGCACACAUGACUGACCCUAUAUAUUUGUUGCCUAUGUUUAUCAGGAGUCUUUUGUGUUUGGAUCUCUCAAACUGCAGUGGCCUUACACAGCUGCCUGCUUCCAUUGGCAACCUUUCUAAUCUGGUUGCAUUGAACCUCUCUCACUGUUAUUCCCUUCACACACUGCCGGCGUCAGUAGGAAGACUGAAGAACUUGCAAAUUCUUGUUCUUUCCUGCUGCCAUGAACUAAGGAUUUUACCAGUGUCACUUUGUGAGCUUUCCAAGCUAAGGUUGCUGGAUUUAGCAGGCUGUUCCGGCCUUCAAAACUUACCUGCUUCUUUAGUAAAUCUUUGCAAUCUAGAGAUUCUGAACCUAUCAUAUUGCAAAGAACUGAAGGAGCUUCCACAACCAUUUGGUAACCUCCAGGAACUGAAGUACUUGAAUUUAUCAGGCAGCCAUCGGGUUGACUUGGAUGUUGAGUGCCUAUAUACACUUGCAAAUUUGAAGUCCCUAACUUUGUCGCCGCUUACAAAUAUUCAAGGCUUUCCUGGUUCCUUCAAAGAUCUUGCGAAUCGCUUGGAUAGUUUAAGAUUGUGGAAGAACCAGAUCCAUCCCCAGUGUGGCCCAAAGGCUGUUUCUUUGCAUUCAUAUAGGUGUUAUGAGCAAAGUAUCAUUGACAUGUUACUUUCUGAUGAGGCUGACAAUAGUAGCAACCAGAUAGUCACUUCUGCUUGCAUAGUUGGUGAAAGUGGCAUGGGAAAGACUGAGCUAGUCCAUCGAAUUUACAAUAACCGAAUGAUUUUGGAUACCUUUGAUUUGAGAAUAUGGCUGCAUAUGUGUGAUAAAAAGAGGCUAUUAGGUAAGAUAGUAGAGCUCACUACUUUUGCAUCCUGUGGUGAUGCCUCAAUCAGUGUUCUUGAAGAAAUUGUAAUAGAAGAACUUGCUAGCAAGAGGUUGUUACUUGUACUAGACGAUUCUGAAAUCAAGGACCAGUAUUUCUGGGGUUAUCUAUGGAAGCUACUUAAUGUUUGUGCAAAAGGAAGCGCUGUCAUUGUAACUACCAAGAGCAUGGUAGAUGCUAACCAGACUGGAGCAAUGCAAACCUUUUACUUGAGUCCUCUAUCCAAAGAAGAAUGCUUUAUGAUUUUCAAGGAACAUGUGCUUGAAGAUUUAGUUGUGAAUAAUUACUGUCAGUUAGAAAGCAUUGGCUGGAAGUUUGCGGAGAAAUGUGGUGGCAAUCCAAUGUGCAUUAAAGCCCUAAGUGGGUUGUUAUGUCAUUCUGAAGUUGGAUUGUCUGAAAUUGAUAUGAUUGUUGAUGGUAUCUUACCAGCAUUAAGAUUAUGCUACGAUCUUUUGCCAGCACACCUUCAGCAGUGCUUCAAAUUUUGUUCCCUAUUCCCCAAAGAUUAUAUUUUUGUCAAGCACCAUAUCAUCCGAUUAUGGAUAGCUGAAGGCUUAGUCUUCUGUGAAGAAGGUACUAAGCCAGAAGAUACUGCUCUGCAUUAUUUUGACCAACUAUUCUGCAGAUCAUUUUUCCAGCGUUCUCCAUUUCAUAGUGAUCAUAAAGAUAGCUUUGUUAUGCAUGAGCUAUUUCAUGAUCUGGCACACUCUGUUUCCAAGAAUGAGUGCUUCAGAUGUGAGGAACCAUUCUGCAGCUUAGCUGAAAAUGUUUCCCACCUAUCCCUUGUUCUUUCAGAUUUUAAGACAACUGCACUUUCUAAUGAAGUAAGGAAUUUGCAGUCUUUUCUGGUUGUCAGAAGAUGUUUCCCAGUGGUGAGAAUUUUUACUUUGGAUGAUAUUUUCGUGAAACAUAGAUUCUUAAGGGCACUAAAUUUGAGCUAUACAGACAUACUAGAGUUGCCAAUUUCUAUUGGAAACAUGAAGCACCUGCGGCUCUUGGCUCUCAACAACACCAAGAUCAAAAGCCUUCCUAUUGAGAUAGGACAAGUAAACAGUCUUCAGACAUUGGAACUGAAGGAUUGUUGCCACCUCAUUGACUUACCAGGAAGCAUAAGUAAUUUGGCAAAGCUGCGACACCUUGAUGUGCAAAAAGAAUCGGGCAACAUUAUUGUUGGCAUGCCUCAUGGUAUAGGAUAUCUGACAGAUCUCCAAACUCUCACAAUGUUCAACAUUGGGAAUGAUAUGUUGCAUUGUUCGAUUUCAGAGUUGAACAAUCUGAAUGGACUAAGGGGACAUGUUCAUGUAACUAGGCUUGAGAAUAUUAUGACAGCCAAUGAUGCCAGAGAAGCAAAUAUGAUGGGUAAACACUUGCUAGAGGCUUUGACACUGGAGUGGUCUUACCAGGAUGAAGGCAUGGACGAUGACAUGGGCAAAGAAAUUGCUAGUGAGAUUCUUCAAAAUCUUCAACCUAACAGCAACAUUAUGGAGCUUAUCAUUCGAAAUUAUGCUGGAGAUCUGUUUCCUGUCUGGAUGCAGGACAAUUACCUUUGCAAGCUCACCUCAGUUACACUUGAUAACUGCCAUGGCUGUAGUGAGCUCCCUUACCUUGGUGAUCUACCAUCUCUUAAAUCUCUCUUCAUACAGAGAAUAAAUGUUGUUGAAAGAUUUGGAAUCGAGACCAGUUCUUUGGCCACUGAAGUAAAAUAUCCCACUAGAUUUCCAUCACUGGAGGUGCUGAAUAUAUGCGAGAUGUAUGAUUUGCAGUUCUGGGUUAGCACGAGAGAGGAGGAUUUUCCACGACUCUUUCGACUUUCUAUCAGUAGAUGCCCGAAACUAACCAAAUUGCCUCGCCUUAUUUCCCUAGUGCAUGUGUCAUUUCAUUACGGUGUUGAACUGCCGACCUUCUCAGAACUUCCAUCACUGGAGUCACUAAAGAUCGAAGGCUUCCAGAAGAUUAGAUCUAUUAGUUUCCCACAUCAAUUGACAACCUUGAAUAAGUUGGAAAUUAUUGACUGCAAAGAGCUGUUAUCAAUAAAUGCCUAUUCCUUGUCUGUUUCAAAUUUUAAAGUUGUCAGGUGCCUAAAGCUUGAUUUGGUUGGAAGUUCAAUGGAAGACCAUAUCAGCCACAAAGUGGUUAAUGGAAGGAAUAUCCUGACAAGGAAGCAUAUGGUGCUAAAAACUUUGACCCAUACAAAUCUCUUGGAUGAUGGCAGCAAGUGGGAAAAGUUUGGAGAAAAGAAUAUAUUUGGCUACAUAUUCCCAAGGUCUUACUGCACAUGCAUUUGGAGAAAGUCGACAGGAUGCAGCGCAACAAAGAUUUUGCAGCCGAACAGCAAUGAUCCCAACACAUUGUUUGUCAUGUACAUCUCAAAGCACAACCAUGGAUUCUCCAAUGAACCACACCUUGAAUCGUCUAGUCCACCUGGAACAGGUCGUAAACGAAAGGAAUAUGAUGUGUCCAGUGUUGAAAACACAUCUAAAAAGCAACUGCAUGACUCUUUGGAGUGAGUUGUCAGGCCCCAGUUUUACAGCAGUUUCAUGCAUGGAGGACAUACACCAAUCAGCUCCUAGUUGCAUUGAUGACAUCCUUGCACUGCAACCCUAUGAAUGAAAAGACACAUCAGGUCAAUAGGGGAGGUCUGAAGAUCAGUUUUUGGAAUUCUCUGUGGCAGUCCAUAUCUAGUUGAAAUGCAACAGCCUAGUAUUGAAAACUUGAAAAAGAAUUCUGAUUGGGAAUACCUGAUUAAGCAGAUCAAUGAUUACCGUCUAGGAUUCUAUGCACCAUAGGAACAGGAAGCUUCAAGAACUAAAAUGUCACCUUCCGCAAUGCACGUAUAUGAGAUUUCCUUUUUAGCUGCAGGUCACAGUACCGUAUUUUCAGCUUUGGUUCUGAAGUGAACUUGGGCAACAGCUUCAGUUUGCUGCAUCUGACGAUGCUGAAAUAUUUAAGAUUGGGGAAGUGCUCACUCUUGACACCGAGCCAUUCCUCCCAAGCUUCCAUGUUGCUGAACUUUAGUGACUUCAGUGCAGGAAACACAUUACAGAUUCUGCUCCUAAUGUUAGAAGUGGUAUCUCCAGCAUUUCCAAAGAACUCUGGACCAAUCAGCUUCACACUUGGCAGUGAUUGUAUCAAAAUGUGUUUCAGUGAUGGUAGGCAGCCAAGGGGCGGUACUUCUUUGCAAUUACGACAGUCUUUCAGUUCAAUAGAAGCUAACCUGUCCAAGGGCAGCCAUCCUAACCAUGACCGAGAAAAGGAUCCGUUAUAACCCUUGAUGCUAAGCUCCUCCAGAUUUGAAUGUGGCUUGAGGCAAUUCAAAACCUGAUCUGCUGUUGCACUGAUUGCAGGGUGCUGACUGUCUGAUAUGCAGCUCACAGCGUUUCCUUGCGGAUCACAAAGGGACUUGCUAAAAUUUGUAACUCCGGACCAUUCGAGUGUAAGACUUUUAAUCCGCGGCUUGUUCCAAAGGUUGGCGAUGGAAGCUUGUGCACCAUCCAGGUUGUUUAAACCUGUGAUGUGAAGAUGUCCUUCGAGGUUUACCAGUUCGUUGAGGUCUGCUAUGGUGCAUCCAGCAGGCUCAUUCUCGAUGGCGAAAAAAGGUAGUCUCUGCAGCCUAGUCAACUCUCCAAUCCCAGAAGGCAUCUUUAUGCCUGAAUGUGGAAUCUCUAAGCACCUUAGGUUCAAUAGGAGCUUGAUGCCCUGAGGCAACUGAGUAAGGGAAGAACAAUGGUUAAGCUUUAUUGUCUGCAAGUGGAGAAGAGCACAAAUUGACUCAGGCAGCAUCUGAAUUGCGGUGUUGUCCAGACCAAGGAACCUUAGGUGUAUCAGACUUCCAAUGGAUUUCGGUAGCUCCAUGAUAUUAGAGUUGCUCAAAUCUAAAGCCCUUAAGCAUUCAAAACCUGUGAUCAGCUCAGAUGGAAUCUUUGUUCUGAAGGUCAUCUCCUCGGGGUUCUGUUCUGUUCUUGCAAUGAACAUGAAGGUCCGGAGAUCACGAUGACCACAGAACCAGCUCAGGUUUAUUUCUUCGACCGAAUCGGACUCCUCGUCGACCAAGGACAAAUGCCGAGAGCUCUCAUCUAUUUUCGUCGAAUUAGGGAGCUGUAUCAUCCUACAUUCAUUGCCUGAAACAAACUGAGCAAGCUCUUGAUACAGGUCGUGCAUAACAAACUUCCCUUCGCUGAGAGCAUGAGAUGGGGAAGGGUGGAAGAAGCACCUUGACACCAAGUCAUUGAAGUAACCAUUGGCGAUCGCUUCAAGGCUGCAGUCUCCUUCAGCAUCCACAAAGCCCUGCGCAGUCCACAGCUGGACUAGCAGAUCUUUGUCGAACACGAAGCCCUUUGGAAACAAUGAACAAAACGCGAAGCUGCGCUUCAGCGGCAUGGACAGGUGGUCGUAGCUCACCUUCAGCACCGGCAGUACCAGGUUCUUCACCUCAUUGUCAGCCCACAAGUCGUUAUUCAGGACUUCAUUCCAGUGCUCCCAGACGGCUGAAGUGCUCAGGACGCUACCAGCUGCCUCUGCCGCCAAUGGCAAGCCGUGGCAUUUCUUGGCGAUCCUCUCACCGAUCUCAACGAGUUCUUUGUGGACGUUGGCACCGCUAUUUGGCAGUGCCCGUCGCUGGCAUACAAGCCAGCAGUCUUCAUCUGACAAGCAUUUGAGAUGAUACACCUUGGUGCUCACCAUCCUGGCAACCUUGUUGCUCCUCGUCGUCACGGCAACCGCACUCCCUGGCGCGCAGUGGCUCAGCGGGGCCGUCAGGCUGUUCCAGUGGCUGGGAUUGUCAUCCCACACGUCGUCAAGAACGAUCAAGCACCUCUUCCCGGCAAGGUGCUCAACUAUGAGCUCAUGAAGCGUGCUCAGCUCGCCGCACUCCGGGCGCGAUCUGGUGAUCGCCUCAACAAUCUUGCGGGUCACGCUGACAACGUCAAAAUCCUGGGAGACCCAAACCCAGCGCGUCAGUUCAAAGCACGACUUCACCGUCUCCAUGCCGCAGACGUGCUGCAUCAGAGCAGUCUUGCCGACGCCGGCCAUCCCGACGAUGGGCACGACGGCGUAGCUCGUCCCGCCGUCCGGAUCCCCGAGGACCAGCGCGGCGACCCUCUCGACGUCGCCAUGCCUCCCGUGGAGGCGCUCGGUACGGGGAAGCACGCUGCUUGGCACGAGCGGGCUGGCCGCGGGCCGGGGCGCGCAGCCGCCGUCGCCUGGCCGCAGCCGGAGCGUCUUCCUGUCCGACGCGAUCUCUUCGUACCUCGCCCAGACGUCGUCGAUCUUGCGGCGGAGCCGCCUCGCGGGCGGGGGCGCGAACAGCAGCGCCACCUCCCGGCGCUGCUUCCGCGUCGUGGCGGCGUAGAGCAAGUCUUGCUUGAGCUCCUCCAGCUGCGCCGAGCGGCGGGACUCGUACUCCAGCUCCUCGACCACAUCCUCGGCCCGGUUCUCGAGGUCGCCGAGCUCGGCCAGCCACAGCUGGACGGAGCAAUCGGUGACGGACAGGCUCUCGGCGUCGCGGAGGGUGGCGCGGAUCCGCCGCAGUUUGGACUUGAGCGCCAUCAGCUCGUCGUCGUUGACGGUGGUCGGCUCGGUCGCCCGCCCGAAUGGCUCCAGCAGUGGCGACGCGAGCUUCUUGGACUUGACUGCAAAGUGAAGCAGCGCAUCUCGCAGAGUGUGGAUGAUGGUCGUCGUCUUCUCUCCAUUGUUGUCCAUUGCCGGAUCAGUACGUGGCGCGAGAACUCGAUGGUUGGUUUGGAGAUUGGAUUAGUAGAGAAUCAGCUGUUGGUGGCUUGGUGCGUAUUGCGUAAAGCUGCUGUGACUGUGAGGCUGAGAACGAGGAGGGGUUUGGCUGACACCUGACAGCUCCCGCAAGCGUUGACGAAGACUUCGCUUGGUUGGCACGGAGAGGCUCAGUACUCGAAUGGCCCCACCACUUUAUCUUCUACUAGAGGAGCUAAAGAAAAUGGACCGACGCUCGCGUGCUGGUGCCCGCGCGCUAACACUUUAGAUUGUUUAUUUCUUAUCCUACAAUUUUCACUCUAUGAUAAAUCGAUACACGAAGACCAAGGUGUUACGACCGUCUAUUA
Molecule: RNA transcript, 8597 nt
Organism: Zea mays
Lineage: Eukaryota; Viridiplantae; Streptophyta; Magnoliopsida; Poales; Poaceae
Exons: 7
Source: RefSeq, a predicted model, not a curated record